This 1523-nucleotide long non-coding RNA is filed under the name Polistes fuscatus (common paper wasp). RNAcentral's name for it is "uncharacterized LOC122526729, transcript variant X2". Lineage: Eukaryota; Metazoa; Arthropoda; Insecta; Hymenoptera; Vespidae. The record is from RNAcentral.
AGAAAAUGUACUUUCUUUAAAAUUGAAUUUGCCGCGCUAUCGCGGUUGAGUAGUAAACUUGGCAACAUGGAUUGAUGAAUAGAGAGGAACAUAUAAAUACGAACAGAGAGAACAGAAAGCACGUGUGUGAUUUUUAGUGCAUUAAUAAAGAUAAGGAGUUGAAUAAAAAAAGAGUAAAUAAAAGUGUAACGGGCGGAAAAUGAACUUUAAUUGUCGUUUCUCUGUUAAAGAGCAACCGAUUGGGUUUUACUUUCCUGAAAAAUCUCAACAAUAUUGGAAUUAAGAUUAUUUGUCUUACAAAACUACAAUUUUGUUCACAAUGGCAAAACUACAAUUUGAAUUCAUGGUGGUAGCUUCACCAAAAUAUGAUAAGACAAAUACAGUUGCCAUAACCUCAAUUACCACAGAGGAUGGAAAGAAGUAUGUACUACCGGAAAAUGUAAGAUAUGCAGAACACCAUAGAUGAAGAUGGAAACCUGCAGUUUGGAGAGCAGUAUCUGAAGGAGGUGGAUGAAAAGAAUAUAAAUCAGGUUUGUAUUGGUACUCUUCAACACUUUUAAGAUUAACUGUAACUGCUGGAUGGUCAGAAUGGAAGAAUAGAUUUUUAAAAAGUUGUGCAAAUGAUGGAUGAAAUAAUGCGACUUACGCUUUAAUAUUUAAGUACAAAGACGGUUCAUUAAUUAAUUACGCCAUCAAGAAGGAAAAACUUUUAGUAGAUUUCAAUUAAGAUAUAGACAUAAAAACACUUAUAGCAUUGAUAGCAUUGAUGUUUAACGAGCUGAGAAAGCAUGAGAACUUAGUAUAUAAGAAAAAUUUUCGAAACAAAGACUAUAAUAGACUUUAACAAAAAAUCUGAAGAAAAAAAACCAUGUAAGAUGUGCGAGAAUUUGGGUAAAGGUGUAGGUUUUCACCCUAGUGAAAAGUGCUAGUUUAAAGCAAAAGAAGAGGAUAAAGAAAAAAAUACUCCAACAAAAAAGCAUCUCUAAUGGCUUAAAUGAAAGACUUAAUGAGACGAUAAUAAAUAAAAUAAGAUGUAUAAUAAACGGAAAGAAAGGAAAAGAAACGUGGACAACUAUCGCAAGAGAAUGUGUAUAUAAAUACAACAAAACAGAACACACAGUUACUGGAUUUUCACCAAAAUAUUUACUAAAUGCCACAAUAAUAACUACGGCACCAGAAGAAUUAAGACAAACGGAAAAAAAGAAUUAUAAUAAAAAACUAUUUGAUAAAAACUGAGUACAAUAUACAUUCAACGUAGAAGACACAGUAUAUAUAGAAAACGGUAACAGAUUUAAUAGGAAAAUAUUAGAUAAAUUAUAUACAUUGGACCACUAAAAAUAAUUGAAAAUAUAUCAGACACAAUCUAUAAAAUAAACACAGGAAAGAAAAAAAAUGAAUCGACUCUGUUUCACAUUACGAAGUUCAUUCCAAUGAGGAAAAUAGAGACAGAAGACAAUGAAUGACUAAAAUAAAAUGUUGAGAAUUUUCAUCGCUUUAGGGGAAGAUGUAAAGAAAAUGAAAAA